RNAcentral lists this ribosomal RNA (378 nucleotides) under Triticum aestivum (bread wheat). RNAcentral's name for it is "partial small subunit ribosomal RNA". Lineage: Eukaryota; Viridiplantae; Streptophyta; Magnoliopsida; Poales; Poaceae. The record is from RNAcentral.
AUGUCACCAGAUUCCUUCUCGAUUGUAACCGUGUCAUGCUUUCAUAUGCAUCUCUCUGAACAACUUUUGAAACGAGACUCCUUUUUCAACCGAAGAUAUGAUAACACUACUAGUAUCAGCUGGUUUGGCGUGUAUCUCCAUAUAUGUACGCCCUUUUGCUCUGGGCCUGGGCAUCCUUGGCAUUCUGGCUGCUUCUCUGCAGAAGUACUGGCUCUUGGCAAAGGCUGCACUUUUUCUCUGGGCUUGGGGCUGAUUCUCUGCAGAAGUAUUUUAGGCAUCCUUGGCGUACAGGCUGCUUCUCUGCAAAAGUAUUGGCUUGUUCAAAGAGCUCCUGGGCAAAGGCUACUGUAUCAUACAUUUGUCAUGGCACCGGAUUAA